RNAcentral lists this ribosomal RNA (521 nucleotides) under uncultured bacterium. Its description in RNAcentral is "bacterial SSU rRNA". It matches the Rfam family "Archaeal small subunit ribosomal RNA", at positions 345 to 866 of the family's 1478-position model. The record is from RNAcentral.
AACCUCCGCAAUGUGAGAAAUCGCGACGGGGGGAUCCCAAGUGCCAUUCCUAACGGGAUGGCUUUUCAUUAGUGUAAAGAGCUUUUAGAAUAAGAGCUGGGCAAGACCGGUGCCAGCCGCCGCGGUAACACCGGCAGCUCUAGUGGUAGCAAUUUUUAUUGGGCCUAAAGCGUCCGUAGCCGGUUUAAUAAGUCUCUGGUGAAAUCCUGUAGCUUAACUGUGGGAAUUGCUGGAGAUACUAUUAGACUUGAGACCGGGAGAGGUUAGAGGUACUCCCAGGGUAGAGGUGAAAUUCUGUAAUCCUGGGAGGACCGCCUGUUGCGAAGGCGUCUAACUGGAACGGUUCUGACGGUGAGGGACGAAAGUUAGGGGCGCGAACCGGAUUAGAUACCCGGGUAGUCCUAACUGUAAACGAUGCGGACUUGGUGUUGGGGUGGCUUUGAGCUGCUCCAGUGCCGAAGGGAAGCUGUUAAGUCCGCCGCCUGGGAAGUACGGUCGCAAGACUGAAACUUAAAGGAAUU